Molecule: long non-coding RNA, 1433 nt
Organism: Plodia interpunctella (Indianmeal moth)
Lineage: Eukaryota; Metazoa; Arthropoda; Insecta; Lepidoptera; Pyralidae
Exons: 3
Source: RefSeq, a predicted model, not a curated record
AGAUGGCUUUAAUCAGAAUGGAAUCAGUGCGUCAAUCAGUAAGGAAGUUUGUUAUUAGAAUAACGUAAAUUCGGUAUUAUGGUGAUCAAUUAUGAAUAACAAUUGUUUAUUUGUAUUUAUUACUAUAUUUAGUCACUUAUCCGUUUUCGCUGAGCAAAAUAUCGCUAGUUUUGGCCAUGGUGAUAUUAGAAAUGACCCGAAGAUAGAUGAAAAGCUAACUAAAAAUAUUGAAUUAGGAGAUCGUGUGGAAACAACGCCCAAAGAUCCCGAUUGGCGGGCUGAUAACUAUCAGUAUUAUGGUUCUGAUGAUUACAUAUCAGACUAUGAUGAAUUGGAUGAUUCUCAAGAAAGUAAGGAAGGAAUCAAUAGAGAUGGAAAUACAGAAAAUAAAACAUUACUAAGAGAUAUAUUAUUGGCUUCCAUGUCCAACACAGCGGACGAAGAACUACUGUCUAAAAGUAAGGACGAUAGUGAUUACUUGGAUUAUAGCAGGGAUAUAACAAUUUCUGGACGAAGGAAUAUGGAUUCUAAUGUUGUAACUGCUAAAGCAGACUCCGGUACUGACUCAAAUGUUCCUACAUUAUUACCAAACACAUAUCCUUUACAUCGACGAUAUUUUGCUCCAUUUCCUAAUCCAUGGAGAAUGCCAAUAACAAUAACCUAUCCAACGGCAAGAUUUUCAUCAGUAUUGAAAAACCCAUACAGUUUGGGCGCAACCACCACAGGCCCCAUCAGUUCCCAGGAUUACUCCAAUAAUAAAUACCCAUUUAUGGGUAAUAAAGAAUUUGUUUUUCAUCCAUUAAAGACUAUACGUACGCUGUUUUAAUUUUCUAAGGCGCUAAUAGCCGCAUCUUAGCGCAACCAUCACAUUUUUGUCAAUUUCUUUUAUUUAUUAGCGAAAAAAAAUAUCUGCCACUUUAAAAGUUUUAGUAGUAGAAAGUAUCGGUUUACUACAAAGCAAUGUCACUGUUGACUAAACGGAUUUUGGUGGCAACGAUUCGUUUUCGAUUUUGUUCAUUAAUAAUCUUAUUUCAAGUUAUUUGUUUUAUUGCGUAUUCAACGCAAUACGUCUCAGGGUGAAUUCCUCCUUCAAAUUUCAACAAAGACAAGAAUCUUUUUAAUAUCCUAAUUUAUGAAUAUAAUCUAUGUAAAAUUUUAUAUUUCAAUUUUAAGAUUUUAGAAUGGUUCUUUAUUUUGAAGGACGAAGGUAAUGACGGCGGUCAAAGUGCUCGAAAAUGCUUUCCUUCUGCUGCGCCUGACCCUGUAUUAAUGGUCCAAUCAACGGUAAAAUUAAAUAUUGUAGGUAUAUGAAUUUUGAAAUAGUAUACGCCAGACACAAUGCGCCUAGCGCAGUGAAAUAUGUUUUCUUUAUAAUAGUAUCUUUUACUUUAAUAAGUAUGUAAGUGUUCAUGAAUAAAUUUCUAUUAAUCUCA